GUUUCCCAUAAGCUAUGUCCUUUUUAGCCCUCUACCAUAGUAAUUUUUUUUAAUAUACAACUUUUCUUUUUAAUUUUUCACUCCACAAAAGUUUUCACUUGAGAAAUAAUUAUCUUGCUAACAAAGUUAACUAUAAAUUAAAUAAUUUUUUUCCUCUGUAUAAAUUGUGCUUUUUUUAGGGAAAAAAAAAACUCCAUUGUUAUAUUUUUUAGAAAAAAAUAACAUAAUACUUUUAUUUUCAUCUUUUACUUUGUAAUUAUUUUAACUUAAAGAAAAAAGAAAUUUCUAUAACAAAAUUAAUUACAAAACUUUAUAUGAUAAAAAGGUUGUUACACAAAUUACCACGGUUAAUUAUUCCAACUUGUUUUACUAUAGAAUACCAUUACAAUAUGGACAUAUUCCCGGGAUUUCAAAAUUUAAAAAUAAUUUUGUUCUAAUAAAUAACACAUUUCCAAGCUUUCCACAAAAUGAAAACAGAAGUUUUCUAUGCGAACUGAAAGUGGAAAACAGAAAUUCUACAAGUAAACAGGCCGAAGCCAUUUUACAUUGAAAAAUGCGAAGCUGCUCCUAUACUUCAAAAACUCACAAUAAGGGAACUAACCUAUAAUAAAUCCACUGAAUUUCAUACCCUACAAUCCACCAACUGUUGCUUGUCACAGUUGGCUGCUUGUAUUUUCCUUUUUCUUUUUUCUUUUUUCUUU
RNAcentral lists this unclassified non-coding RNA (701 nucleotides) under Hevea brasiliensis (rubber tree). The record is from RNAcentral. Lineage: Eukaryota; Viridiplantae; Streptophyta; Magnoliopsida; Malpighiales; Euphorbiaceae.